RNAcentral lists this long non-coding RNA (461 nucleotides) under Ananas comosus (pineapple). Its description in RNAcentral is "long non-coding RNA (ACOM_LNC025022)". The record is from RNAcentral. Lineage: Eukaryota; Viridiplantae; Streptophyta; Magnoliopsida; Poales; Bromeliaceae.
AAUUUAAAAAAUCAGAAAGAAUAUAUAUAGAAAAUAAAUUUACAAAAUCUUACCAAUUAGACUUUAAUUUAAUGGUUGAAAUUUUAUACAUAAACGGAUAUUUUUAUAAUUGAGUUAGACUUUAUAUUUAGGUUAAGCUAAAACUCAAUAAAAAUAUAUAUUAUAUAUAUAUAAUUAUUUAUUUAUAUAUAUAAUAUAUAAAUUAUUUAUAUAUAAAAUAUAUGUAUUUGAACUGCUAUGGAGUCGAAUAUGAGUAAGCUGAUUCUAAUUCAUGUUCAACUUCGAGAAGGCUUAUGACCGAAUCUAUUGGCCUUUCCUUUUUCGCAUCAUGGAGUGGUGGGGAUUCGACAGGAAGUGGAUUAACUGGGUCAAAUUAUGCGUUUGUAGUGCUAAAGUUGCAGUUCUGGUCAAUGGUGUACCAACAAACUGGAUCAAGACGAAAAGGGGAUUACGGCAGGGGG